This 892-nucleotide small RNA is filed under the name Leptosphaeria sp. 1 NV-2015. RNAcentral's name for it is "eukaryotic LSU rRNA". It matches the Rfam family "Eukaryotic large subunit ribosomal RNA", at positions 50 to 959 of the family's 3401-position model. Lineage: Eukaryota; Fungi; Ascomycota; Dothideomycetes; Pleosporales; Leptosphaeriaceae. The record is from RNAcentral.
GCGGAGGAAAAGAAACCAACAGGGAUUGCCCUAGUAACGGCGAGUGAAGCGGCAACAGCUCAAAUUUGAAAUCUGGCUCUUUUAGGGUCCGAGUUGUAAUUUGCAGAGGGCGCUUUGGCGUUGGCAGCGGUCCAAGUUCCUUGGAACAGGACGUCACAGAGGGUGAGAAUCCCGUACGUGGUCGCUGGCCUUCGCCGUGUAAAGCCCCUUCGACGAGUCGAGUUGUUUGGGAAUGCAGCUCUAAAUGGGAGGUAAAUUUCUUCUAAAGCUAAAUACUGGCCAGAGACCGAUAGCGCACAAGUAGAGUGAUCGAAAGAUGAAAAGCACUUUGGAAAGAGAGUCAAAUAGCACGUGAAAUUGUUGAAAGGGAAGCGCUUGCAGCCAGACUUGCCUGUAGUUGCUCAUCCGGGCUUUUGCCCGGUGCACUCUUCUGCGGGCAGGCCAGCAUCAGUUUGGGCGGUUGGAUAAAGGUCUCUGUCAUGUACCUCCUUUCGGGGAGGCCUUAUAGGGGAGACGACAUGCAACCAGCCUGGACUGAGGUCCGCGCAUUUUGCUAGGAUGCUGGCGUAAUGGCUGUAAGCGGCCCGUCUUGAAACACGGACCAAGGAGUCUAACAUCUAUGCGAGUGUUUGGGUGUCAAGCCCGAGCGCGCAAUGAAAGUGAACGGAGGUGGGAACCCUUUAGGGUGCACCAUCGACCGAUCCUGAUGUCUUCGGAUGGAUUUGAGUAAGAGCAUGGCUGUUGGGACCCGAAAGAUGGUGAACUAUGCUUGAAUAGGGUGAAGCCAGAGGAAACUCUGGUGGAGGCUCGCAGCGGUUCUGACGUGCAAAUCGAUCGUCAAAUUUGGGCAUAGGGGCGAAAGACUAAUCGAACUAUCUAGUAGCUGGUUCCU